UCUGCUCCUGCUGCAGGCAGUGCGGCUCUGGCGGUUCUCCAUUUCCAAGGGAGAGAUGCCUUUGGGAGCCCACUGGAGAUUCCAGCCUCGGAGGCAGUGUAAGAACACAGUAUGAAAGCAAAAUCAUGGAGACUCCGGGGAUCCAGUGCUCCUCUUGGAGUGCAGAAUUUAUCCUUGAGUGAUCAUAUGGAUGUUUUUAUCAUUUUAGGAACUGGGUGUCUGGCUUUGUUCCCGACACCAUCGGUGUGCCACCAGCACUUGGUUCAGCUGCUUCCUCUCCUCACUGAGCUCCUCUGAUAUUUCCUUGUGGAGAAGAACCAUGGUGGGCUGCAGGUCCUCCUGAAUUCACCAAGAAGCGGCACUGAGUGCCAAAAGCAAAGUGUGGUUUAAUCUUCAAAGGAUGACAAAAUGGUUUGUCAAGAGAUUGGCCUCUUUGGAAAUCAUGGCUUAUGUCAGUCCCCAGCAUCUGAGGCCAAUCAAGCUGUGCACAGUGCAGGACCUCCAUCGGCAGCACCCCAACCCGGCUGGGCAGAGCAGUGUCUGUGGGUGCUGCCGGGGCCACCCCUCCUCACACUGCACAGUGUGUGGGAUGAGCUAGAGGGGAUGUCAGACAAGAGGGGCUGCCAGGUGCAGAGAUCACCUGGCCUCUGAAUGAGGCGGUUAUGGGAAGCAUUGGAGGACUGUGUGAACUGAGAGACGAACAGAGUGUGCAUAAGGAUGGGCUGCCCCUCGGAGCUGGCAUGCCGUGUUUUCCUGCUGUCUCAUUGACUUCUUGCCAAAAAGGCCAAAAUGUCAGAGUUUUCUCAGGAAUUCUAAAGUUGGAACUUAAAAGUACUUGGAGCACUUGGUUUAAUAGACCUUCACAUCAGCGUAUUCCCAGUUCCACACAGCUCCCCAGUGACAUGGGACCUUUUGUCAAGCACAUAUGAAAUUAAGUGAAAUAAAAAUCAUAUUAAAAAUUAUUACCAUCUAA
Molecule: long non-coding RNA, 973 nt
Organism: Gallus gallus (chicken)
Lineage: Eukaryota; Metazoa; Chordata; Aves; Galliformes; Phasianidae
Exons: 2
Source: RefSeq, a predicted model, not a curated record